Molecule: ribosomal RNA, 253 nt
Filed under: uncultured bacterium
Lineage: Bacteria
Description: partial 16S ribosomal RNA
Rfam family: Bacterial small subunit ribosomal RNA
Source: RNAcentral
UACGGAGGGUGCGAGCGUUGUUCGGAAUCACUGGGCGUAAAGGGCGUGUAGGCGGUCUGUUAAGUCUGAUGUGAAAGCCCGGGGCUCACCCCCGGAAGUGCAUUGGAUACUGGCGGACUCGAGUCUCGGAGAGGAGGGUGGAAUUCCUGGUGUAGCGGUGAAAUGCGUAGAUAUCAGGAGGAACACCGGUGGCGAAGGCGGCCCUCUGGGCGAUGACUGACGCUGAGACGCGAAAGCGUGGGGAGCAAACAGG